GCCUGGGUGGCUCAGUCGGUUGAGCGUCCGACUUCAGCUCAGGUCACGAUCUCACGGUUCGUGAGUUCGAGCCCCACGUCAGGCU
Molecule: transfer RNA, 85 nt
Filed under: Felis catus (domestic cat)
Lineage: Eukaryota; Metazoa; Chordata; Mammalia; Carnivora; Felidae
Also listed under: 5 other names
Rfam family: tRNA
About the family: Transfer RNA (tRNA) molecules are approximately 80 nucleotides in length. Their secondary structure includes four short double-helical elements and three loops (D, anti-codon, and T loops). Further hydrogen bonds mediate the characteristic L-shaped molecular structure. tRNAs have two regions of fundamental functional importance: the anti-codon, which is responsible for specific mRNA codon recognition, and the 3' end, to which the tRNAs corresponding amino acid is attached (by aminoacyl-tRNA synthetases). tRNAs cope with the degeneracy of the genetic code in two manners: having more than one tRNA (with a specific anti-codon) for a particular amino acid; and 'wobble' base-pairing, i.e. permitting non-standard base-pairing at the 3rd anti-codon position.
Source: Rfam by way of RNAcentral